AACGAACGCUGGCGGCGUGGAUAAGACAUGCAAGUCGAACGGGAGGCUCUUAGCUUGCUUUGGGUCUCUAGUGGCGGACGGGUGAGUAACACGUGAGUUACCUGCCCAGAAGAUCGGAAUAGCUCGGGGAAACUCGAAUUAAUACCGGAUGUGAACGCAAGUUUAAAGGUGCCUUCGGGUGCCGCUUCUGGAUGGGCUCGCGUCCUAUCAGCUUGUUGGUGAGGUAAUGGCUUACCAAGGCGACGACGGGUAGCUGGUCUGAGAGGACGACCAGUCACACUGGAACUGAGACACGGUCCAGACACCUACGGGUGGCUG
Molecule: ribosomal RNA, 318 nt
Filed under: uncultured Verrucomicrobiota bacterium
Lineage: Bacteria; Pseudomonadati; Verrucomicrobiota
Description: bacterial SSU rRNA
Rfam family: Bacterial small subunit ribosomal RNA
Source: RNAcentral